RNAcentral lists this long non-coding RNA (382 nucleotides) under Citrus sinensis (sweet orange). RNAcentral describes it as "long non-coding RNA (CSIN_LNC004892)". The record is from RNAcentral. Lineage: Eukaryota; Viridiplantae; Streptophyta; Magnoliopsida; Sapindales; Rutaceae.
AUUUUAAUGUCAUAAUCCUAUAUUUAAUUAUGCAACCUCUUAUUUAGUAUCUUUUGGCUUCUUCAAGCUCUAUAAAUAUUAAGCAUUUAAGAUUUGUUAUGUUUGAGUUUUUUUAAUUAUUUAACCAACAUCCUCUUUAGAAAUGUUCUUGUGUUUUUAUUUUUUGACUUAUUUAAAUUUUUAGUAUUGUAUGCUUCAUGGAGUACUAUUUUCUUCAUGAGUUAAACAAUGACAAAAAUAGUUGGAUAAUAAGGGUUAGACUUUUAAGAUGUGAGAGUCUGUUAAUACUAAGAAAAAUGGAGAGUUGAUUAGUGUGAACAUAAUUUUUAUUGAUGAAAAGGUUGUGUACACUUAACUAUACACAUUAAUAUAUAUUUUUAAU